GGGCGAUUAACUCAGCAGGCUAGAGUGCCAUCGUCACAAGGUGGAAGUCGUUGGUUCGAAUCCAAUAUCGCCCACCA
RNAcentral lists this transfer RNA (77 nucleotides) under Clostridiales bacterium. Its description in RNAcentral is "tRNA-Val". It matches the Rfam family "tRNA". Rfam says of the family: Transfer RNA (tRNA) molecules are approximately 80 nucleotides in length. Their secondary structure includes four short double-helical elements and three loops (D, anti-codon, and T loops). Further hydrogen bonds mediate the characteristic L-shaped molecular structure. tRNAs have two regions of fundamental functional importance: the anti-codon, which is responsible for specific mRNA codon recognition, and the 3' end, to which the tRNAs corresponding amino acid is attached (by aminoacyl-tRNA synthetases). tRNAs cope with the degeneracy of the genetic code in two manners: having more than one tRNA (with a specific anti-codon) for a particular amino acid; and 'wobble' base-pairing, i.e. permitting non-standard base-pairing at the 3rd anti-codon position. The record is from RNAcentral. Lineage: Bacteria; Bacillati; Bacillota; Clostridia; Eubacteriales.